Molecule: ribosomal RNA, 373 nt
Filed under: uncultured organism
Description: partial 16S ribosomal RNA
Rfam family: Bacterial small subunit ribosomal RNA
Source: RNAcentral
GGAGGGUGCAAGCGUUAAUCGGAAUUACUGGGCGUAAAGGGCGCGUAGGUGGUUAGUUAAGUCAAAUGUGAAAUCCCUGGGGCUCAACCUGGGAAUUGCAUCUGAUACUGGCUGACUAGAGUGCAGUAGAGGGAAGUGGAAUUUCCGGUGUAGCGGUGAAAUGCGUAGAUAUCGGAAGGAACACCAGUGGCGGAGGCGACUUCCUGGACUGACACUGACACUGAGGCGCGAAAGCGUGGGGAGCAAACAGGAUUAGAUACCCUGGUAGUCCACGCCGUAAACGAUGGGAACUAGCUGUUGGGGAGAGUUUACCUUCUCAGUGGCGCAGCUAACGCAAUAAGUUCUCCGCCUGGGGAGUACGGCCGCAAGGUUA